GGCUCGGUAGCUUAGUUGGUAAAGCGCUCGUCUAGCAUACAAGAGUCCUGGGUUCGAAUCCCAGCCGAGCACA
This 73-nucleotide transfer RNA is filed under the name Aedes aegypti (yellow fever mosquito). RNAcentral describes it as "tRNA AAEL028768". It matches the Rfam family "tRNA". From Rfam's summary of the family: Transfer RNA (tRNA) molecules are approximately 80 nucleotides in length. Their secondary structure includes four short double-helical elements and three loops (D, anti-codon, and T loops). Further hydrogen bonds mediate the characteristic L-shaped molecular structure. tRNAs have two regions of fundamental functional importance: the anti-codon, which is responsible for specific mRNA codon recognition, and the 3' end, to which the tRNAs corresponding amino acid is attached (by aminoacyl-tRNA synthetases). tRNAs cope with the degeneracy of the genetic code in two manners: having more than one tRNA (with a specific anti-codon) for a particular amino acid; and 'wobble' base-pairing, i.e. permitting non-standard base-pairing at the 3rd anti-codon position. The record is from RNAcentral. Lineage: Eukaryota; Metazoa; Arthropoda; Insecta; Diptera; Culicidae.